This 261-nucleotide ribosomal RNA is filed under the name uncultured archaeon. Its description in RNAcentral is "partial 16S ribosomal RNA". It matches the Rfam family "Archaeal small subunit ribosomal RNA", at positions 748 to 1008 of the family's 1478-position model. The record is from RNAcentral.
CAGCCGUAAACGAUGCGCGUUAGGUGUAUCGACGACCACGAGUCGUCGAGGUGCCGAAGGGAAACCGUGAAACGUGCCGCCUGGGAAGUACGGUCGCAAGGCUGAAACUUAAAGGAAUUGGCGGGGGAGCACCACAGCAGGUGGAGCCUGCGGUUUAAUUGGACUCAACGCCGGAAAUCUCACCGGAUAAGACAGCAGAAUGAUUGCCGGGCUGAAGACUCUGCAUGACUAGCUGAGAGGUGGUGCAUGGCGUCAGUGACU